This 301-nucleotide ribosomal RNA is filed under the name uncultured bacterium. RNAcentral describes it as "partial 16S ribosomal RNA". It matches the Rfam family "Bacterial small subunit ribosomal RNA", at positions 509 to 807 of the family's 1533-position model. The record is from RNAcentral.
CAGCCGCCGCGGUAAUACAGAGGGUGCAAGCGUUAAUCGGAUUUACUGGGCGUAAAGGGCGCGUAGGUGGUUAUGUAAGUGAGAUGUGAAAUCCCCGGACUCAACCUGGGAACUGCAUCUUAUACUGCGUAGCUGGAGUGCAGUAGAGGGUAGUGGAAUUUCCGGUGUAGCGGUGAAAUGCGUAGAUAUCGGAAGGAACACCAGUGGCGAAGGCGGCGACCUGGUCCUUUACUGACGCUGAGGCGCGAAAGCGUGGGGAGCAAACAGGAUUAGAUACCCGAGUAGUCCCUGUCUCUUAUAC